GCCAGUCUGGCCGAGUUUGGUUAAGGCGGUGCACUUAAGAUGCACUCCCUCAGGGGGUCGUCGGUUCGAAUCCGACGGCUGGCA
RNAcentral lists this transfer RNA (84 nucleotides) under Penicillium ochrochloron. Its description in RNAcentral is "tRNA-Leu". It matches the Rfam family "tRNA". From Rfam's summary of the family: Transfer RNA (tRNA) molecules are approximately 80 nucleotides in length. Their secondary structure includes four short double-helical elements and three loops (D, anti-codon, and T loops). Further hydrogen bonds mediate the characteristic L-shaped molecular structure. tRNAs have two regions of fundamental functional importance: the anti-codon, which is responsible for specific mRNA codon recognition, and the 3' end, to which the tRNAs corresponding amino acid is attached (by aminoacyl-tRNA synthetases). tRNAs cope with the degeneracy of the genetic code in two manners: having more than one tRNA (with a specific anti-codon) for a particular amino acid; and 'wobble' base-pairing, i.e. permitting non-standard base-pairing at the 3rd anti-codon position. RNAcentral also lists the same sequence under 2 other names. The record is from RNAcentral. Lineage: Eukaryota; Fungi; Ascomycota; Eurotiomycetes; Eurotiales; Aspergillaceae.